RNAcentral lists this ribosomal RNA (252 nucleotides) under uncultured bacterium. RNAcentral's name for it is "partial 16S ribosomal RNA". It matches the Rfam family "Bacterial small subunit ribosomal RNA", at positions 524 to 776 of the family's 1533-position model. The record is from RNAcentral.
UACGGAGGAUGCGAGCGUUAUCCGGAUUUAUUGGGUUUAAAGGGUGCGUAGGCGGACCGUCAAGUCAGCGGUAAAAUUGAGAGGCUCAACCCCGUCCGGCCGUUGAAACUGGGGGCCUUGAGUGGGCGAGAAGAAGGCGGAAUGCGUGGUGUAGCGGUGAAAUGCAUAGAUAUCACGCAGAACCCCGAUUGCGAAGGCAGCCUUCCGGCGCCCUACUGACGCUGAGGCACGAAAGUGCGGGGAUCGAACAGG